UUGAUGCAUUAGUGCUGGUAUGAUGGCACAUGUUCCAUUUCGCGCAUCAAAUACAUAUACUCCUUUUCCUUCCCUCCCCAUUCCCGUCAUUUGUUUCGCUGUGUGCUCACACCGCACCUCUACUUCUAGUUCUAAUAUAGAGCAAAAUACUCCGGCGCCUCGACUCAUGCCGAGAUGAACGGACCACCUGCCACACCUUUAUUUUCGUUGUUCUAUUA
Molecule: long non-coding RNA, 218 nt
Filed under: Carica papaya (papaya)
Lineage: Eukaryota; Viridiplantae; Streptophyta; Magnoliopsida; Brassicales; Caricaceae
Description: long non-coding RNA (CPAP_LNC015635)
Source: RNAcentral